Molecule: small nuclear RNA, 107 nt
Organism: Myotis lucifugus (little brown bat)
Lineage: Eukaryota; Metazoa; Chordata; Mammalia; Chiroptera; Vespertilionidae
Source: Ensembl
AUGCUCACUUCUGCAGCACAGAUACUAAAAUUGGAAUGAUACAGAGAAGGUUAGCAUGGCCUCUGUGCAAGGAUAACACACACACAAGAAAUAUAGGAGGUGUUUUA